UACGUAGGCAGCAAGCGUUGUUCGGAGUUACUGGGCGUAAAGGGUGUGUAGGCGGUUCUUUAAGUUUGCUGUGAAAUCUCCCGGCUUAACCGGGAGGGUGCGGUGAAUACUGAGGGACUAGAGUACGGGAGAGGAAAGUGGAAUUCCUGGUGUAGCGGUGAAAUGCGUAGAUAUCAGGAGGAACACCAAUGGCGAAGGCGACUACCUGGCCUGUUCUUGACGCUGAGGCGCGAAAGCUAGGGGAGCAAACGGG
This 253-nucleotide ribosomal RNA is filed under the name uncultured bacterium. RNAcentral describes it as "partial 16S ribosomal RNA". It matches the Rfam family "Bacterial small subunit ribosomal RNA", at positions 524 to 776 of the family's 1533-position model. The record is from RNAcentral.